This 481-nucleotide ribosomal RNA is filed under the name uncultured bacterium. RNAcentral describes it as "partial 16S ribosomal RNA". It matches the Rfam family "Bacterial small subunit ribosomal RNA", at positions 30 to 505 of the family's 1533-position model. The record is from RNAcentral.
UUGAACGCUGGCGGCAGGCCUAACACAUGCAAGUCGAGCGGAUGAAGGGAGCUUGCUCCUGGAUUCAGCGGCGGACGGGUGAGUAAUGCCUAGGAAUCUGCCUGGUAGUGGGGGAUAACGUCCGGAAACGGGCGCUAAUACCGCAUACGUCCUGAGGGAGAAAGUGGGGGAUCUUCGGACCUCACGCUAUCAGAUGAGCCUAGGUCGGAUUAGCUAGUUGGUGGGGUAAAGGCCUACCAAGGCGACGAUCCGUAACUGGUCUGAGAGGAUGAUCAGUCACACUGGAACUGAGACACGGUCCAGACUCCUACGGGAGGCAGCAGUGGGGAAUAUUGGACAAUGGGCGAAAGCCUGAUCCAGCCAUGCCGCGUGUGUGAAGAAGGUCUUCGGAUUGUAAAGCACUUUAAGUUGGGAGGAAGGGCAGUAAGUUAAUACCUUGCUGUUUUGACGUUACCAACAGAAUAAGCACCGGCUAACUUCG